CCUACGGGUGGCUGCAGUGAGGAAUAUUGGUCAAUGGUCGGAACACUGAACCAGCCAAGCCGCGUGAAGGAUGAAGGUACAACGUGUCGUAAACCUCUUUUGUCAGGGGACAAACUGGGUCACGUGUCCCCGUCUGCGUGUACCUUACGAAAAAGCAUCGGCUAACUCCGUGCCAGCAGCCGCGGUAAUACGGAGGAUGCGGGCGUUAUCCGGAUUUAUUGGGUUUAAAGGGUGCGCGGGCGGCCUGUUAAGUCAGCGGUCAAAGCCCGGGGCUCAACCCCGGCCCGCCGUUGAAACUGGGAGGCGUGAGUAGGAGAGAAGUAGGCGGAAUGCGCGGUGUAGCGGUGAAAUGCAUAGAUAUCGCGAAGAACUCCGAUUGCGAAGGCAGCAUGCCGGAUCGACACUGACGCUGAGGCACGAAAGCGCGGGUAUCGAACAGGAUUAGAUACCCGAGUAGUC
RNAcentral lists this ribosomal RNA (459 nucleotides) under uncultured bacterium. RNAcentral describes it as "partial 16S ribosomal RNA". It matches the Rfam family "Bacterial small subunit ribosomal RNA", at positions 338 to 795 of the family's 1533-position model. The record is from RNAcentral.